RNAcentral lists this ribosomal RNA (347 nucleotides) under uncultured bacterium. RNAcentral describes it as "partial 16S ribosomal RNA". It matches the Rfam family "Bacterial small subunit ribosomal RNA", at positions 338 to 696 of the family's 1533-position model. The record is from RNAcentral.
CCUACGGGUGGCAGCAGUCGAGAAUCUUUCACAAUGGGGGAAACCCUGAUGGUGCGACGCCGCGUGGGGGAAUGAAGGUCUUCGGAUUGUAAACCCCUGUCAUGGGGGAGCAAAUUACAAAGAUAGUACCACAAGAGGAAGAGACGGCUAACUCUGUGCCAGCAGCCGCGGUAAUACGGAGGGCUCAAGCGGUGUUCGGAAUCAUUGGGCGUAAAGCGUGCGUAGGCGGAUUCGUAAGUCGGGUGUAAAAGGCUCGGGCUCAACCCGCGGCCGGCACAUGAUCCUGCGAGACUAGAUUGAUGGGAGGGGAACCGGAAGUCUCGGUGUGGCAGUGAAAUGCGUAGAUA